UGGGGCAUAGCCAAGCGGUAAGGCAAGGGACUUUGACUCCCUCAUGCGUGAGUUCGAAUCUCGCUGCCCCAGCCU
RNAcentral lists this transfer RNA (75 nucleotides) under Bulleidia extructa W1219. Its description in RNAcentral is "tRNA-Gln". It matches the Rfam family "tRNA". Rfam says of the family: Transfer RNA (tRNA) molecules are approximately 80 nucleotides in length. Their secondary structure includes four short double-helical elements and three loops (D, anti-codon, and T loops). Lineage: Bacteria; Bacillati; Bacillota; Erysipelotrichia; Erysipelotrichales; Erysipelotrichaceae. The record is from RNAcentral.